This 437-nucleotide ribosomal RNA is filed under the name Bacillus sp. 7_6_55CFAA_CT2. RNAcentral describes it as "bacterial LSU rRNA". It matches the Rfam family "Bacterial large subunit ribosomal RNA", at positions 3 to 432 of the family's 2925-position model. The record is from RNAcentral. Lineage: Bacteria; Bacillati; Bacillota; Bacilli; Caryophanales; Bacillaceae.
UUAAGUUAGAAAGGGCGCACGGUGGAUGCCUUGACACUAGGAGUCGAUGAAGGACGGGACUAACGCCGAUAUGCUUCGGGGAGCUGUAAGUAAGCUUUGAUCCGAAGAUUUCCGAAUGGGGAAACCCACCAUACGUAAUGGUAUGGUAUCCUUAUCUGAAUACAUAGGGUAAGGAAGACAGACCCAGGGAACUGAAACAUCUAAGUACCUGGAGGAAGAGAAAGCAAAUGCGAUUUCCUGAGUAGCGGCGAGCGAAACGGAACAUAGCCCAAACCAAGAGGCUUGCCUCUUGGGGUUGUAGGACAUUCUAUACGGAGUUACAAAGGAACGAGGUAGACGAAGCGACCUGGAAAGGUCCGUCGUAGAGGGUAACAACCCCGUAGUCGAAACUUCGUUCUCUCUUGAAUGUAUCCUGAGUACGGCGGAACACGUGUAAA